Molecule: long non-coding RNA, 1607 nt
Filed under: Cricetulus griseus (Chinese hamster)
Lineage: Eukaryota; Metazoa; Chordata; Mammalia; Rodentia; Cricetidae
Description: lncRNA (ENSCGRG00015032185.1)
Source: RNAcentral
GGAGAUGACAGACAAAUUAAGUAUCUAAUGGCUGAAACUAAGGAAGCAGGGUACCUUUUGACAGGCAGAAAUGUACACUCACAUCCGUGCAAGGCAUGCUGAUAACCUAUACCUAGAGGAUGGGUCACCUAUAUAUGAGGGGGUUUUGUGAGUUGCCUUAUACGGAUAUAUCCCUGAGGGCAGGAUCUGUCACUUAGUCCUUAUAAUCUGCCCUAAUACACCGUGUAAUGAGUUAUGUACUUCUCAGAUAAAGAAACCACGUUCAAAUCCAAAUUAGACAAUCAUGCCCUUUAUGUAUCAAAAGUUCAUUUCAUUAAUGUCAAUGUGAUCUAUUGUUGAAUGGAUAAAGCAUAGCCAAUAAGGAAUAUUCAAAUCAAAUAUGAAAAACUGAAAGGUUAUUUCCUUUAAGAAGUAAUCGCUGAUGGAUAGAUAGCAUUGCAAAGUUGAUAAAUGUUCCGUGCUAUAUAUUCUCACAGAUACACACAGUAGAGGGAAUAUAAACAAGGCUAUGAAGCAUACAAAGAAGAGAUUCUCUUUCAUUUCCCAGACCCUUGCUGAAUUCUUUCACCCACAGGAUCUCAUUAAAGCCUCAGAAACACCUUGUGAGUAAGCAUCACUGCUUUCUUACUGGACCCCAGAGCUUUGUAAUUCAAGGAGACUACACAAGUAGCAGAAGAACCACACUGUACAUAACCCCCGUUACUUUUGCGGCCUCUUGUCAUGGGAAAAGUCCUUUUGCGACAGUUCUCAGUUCCUCAGUAGUUCAGUAGAGAUAAUCUGAUAGGCAUUGAAGACAGGGAUGUCCAUUCACUCAAUUGCAUGCCUGAGAAAUGACAUUAUGUGAGGUGUUGGGCUGGACUGGUGAGCUCAGAGCAGACCCAGCUUCUCUGCUGUGUGCUGGGAGGGGGCAGUAAAUUAAGACUUAAAUGAUACCAAACAGAGACUGUCAUUAAAGCUUACUAUUAUAGGGUGACAGCCACCCAAACAGGUUUCUGGUAAAGAUGUACUGGUGGACAUAUGAAUGAGAAUGGCUUUUAGUCGAGACAAGAGAGGCACUUGAAUGUGUACUGAUGCAGCCUAUGGGGCUGGGCUUAUAGUAGAAGGGCUGAGACAUGACACAUCCUACAUAAUCAGUGAUGACUACCUAUUUGGUUUGUCCUAAUUGUUCCUAAGUUGGGAGUUGGGCGAAUGUUGAGAAGAUUGUUAGUUAUUAAUUAAUCAAAUCCAGGCUGUUGAGCAGACUUCCUGGAGUGUUUGAGGCACAGUAGUUUGACUCUUGCCACUGCUUACUAUACAUAUAUUCAUUCCCUUGGCUCAUAGAAGGUUCUAGGCCAGAGUUUUUUGUUUUGCUUAUUUGUUUGUUUUCUUGUUUUUGUAGGUAAUCUGGCCUCUGACUCUUUGGGUGUCAGUCUCAUGGAUGUGGACAGAUUUCUGUACCUUUCAACUAAAAGCAAGAUGUCUACUCUGAGUUUAUUUUUAAGGUUAUCUAGACUUGCCAGGAUGUGGGCAGAAGUUGGGGAAAUAACAGAACUUUUUAACCUCAGAAAGGUAGGUGAUCCUCUUUUAUAAACAGUAUUAUCCCUGCUGGCCUUUAUGAAAAGGCUUAC